CCACAAAAUGAGGAACAGGCAUCUUAUCCAACACCACAAUGAACUAAAACCAUUUAAAGACAAUCAACAAACUUUAUUAUAAAAUGUUCCUCUAAAUCCUAUGACAUGACAACUUGGACUCAAAAUUGGCAAGAAAUAAACCCCAUAUAAAAACUAAAAUCUAAAGCAUAAAGGGCUCUUUUUUCGUUCUUUUCUGAGAAUUGAUGGGAUAGAUUUUUUAAAAUAUGAGUUGAUGGGGUUGAUUCUAAAAUACUGUACCUAAAAUUUCCUUAAAAUGCAAAAAAAAACUUUAUUUUGCAUGCCAUUCAUAAAUUUUAAAAUCAUGAACUUUUCUCUCAUCCUCCAUUAGAAUGAAGAAAAUUUCUUUUUCAUUUAAAUUUUGAUCUCAAAUGAGUUGGAUUUGAUUUCAAAUCUUAGUUUCAAUGCCAAAUCAACUUUACCAAUUAAAUUAGCAUUACCUACAAUAUACCAUUAGAUUUUUGCUAGGAUAUAACCAAUUAAUAUAAAUUAAUAUUUUUAUCAACACGGAGAGAUAGAGAGGAGAAUUGAGGGAAGAAAUGGGAAUAUUAUCAUGUUUAGAAGUGUACUUGCAAAAAAUAUUAAGACUAAAUCCAUACAGAUUUAUAACAACACACGAAAAUAUUUACAUAUGCAUGUAUUGUAAUUUACUUACAUAUGUAAAUAAUAUGAGUUUUUCAUAACUGCAUUAUUUCAAGGACAUUUGAUUUAUAUUAAACUAAAUAUUUUAUCUAAUAUAUAUUCUUAUAACCCACAUAUAUAAAAUAUAAACCUUUCAAUAUUGGCAAGGUUUACAUAAUGUCAGUUUUGUACAUAUCUUGAUGAGAGAAAGGAGUAUGUGAAUUGAAUUGUUUGCAGUAAAAGUUAAGUGAUUGGAUAGGUUACUAUUUAUAUAUUUAUUGCUUUACUCUCAUCAAGUUCCAUCCAUUGAUAAAGAUAGUCAAAAGCAAAAGGCACAAUGUCCCUUCUCUUAUCAAGUCCCAUCUAUUGACUCGAGAUAGUCCACAGCAAAAGGCAAAUUAAGAAGAUAUUGAUGUCAAGGGAUGUUAAACAAGCAAACUGGAAGCCUGAACCAAUUUUAUGCCAGCAUGCACAGUGCCAAACACUUGGCAACAAGUGCACAAUACAUGAUUAAAUCAAAGGCAUCUCGCCUGGAAGUUUGGGUAGCACCGGACUGACUAACAGCCAAAUUAAAAUAGACUAAUGAACAG
Molecule: unclassified non-coding RNA, 1229 nt
Filed under: Hevea brasiliensis (rubber tree)
Lineage: Eukaryota; Viridiplantae; Streptophyta; Magnoliopsida; Malpighiales; Euphorbiaceae
Source: RNAcentral